This 506-nucleotide ribosomal RNA is filed under the name uncultured bacterium. RNAcentral's name for it is "partial 16S ribosomal RNA". It matches the Rfam family "Bacterial small subunit ribosomal RNA", at positions 30 to 523 of the family's 1533-position model. The record is from RNAcentral.
AUUGAACGCUGGCGGCAGGCCUGACACAUGCAAGUCGAGCGGCAGCACAAGGGAGUUUACUCCUGAGGUGGCGAGCGGCGGACGGGUGAGUAAUGCCUAGGGAUCUGCCCAGUCGAGGGGGAUAACAGUUGGAAACGACUGCUAAUACCGCAUACGCCCUACGGGGGAAAGAGGGGGACCUUUAGGCCUCUCGCGAUUGGAUGAACCUAGGUGGGAUUAGCUAGUUGGUGAGGUAAUGGCUCACCAAGGCGACGAUCCCUAGCUGUUCUGAGAGGAUGAUCAGCCACACUGGGACUGAGACACGGCCCAGACUCCUACGGGAGGCAGCAGUGGGGAAUAUUGCACAAUGGGGGAAACCCUGAUGCAGCCAUGCCGCGUGUGUGAAGAAGGCCUUCGGGUUGUAAAGCACUUUCAGUAGGGAGGAAAGGGUGAGUCUUAAUACGGCUCAUCUGUGACGUUACCUACAGAAGAAGGACCGGCUAACUCCGUGCCAGCAGCCGCGGUAA